UAAGGAUUUAGCGUCAGAACCUGUAGAGUUGUGAGGAUGAUGUCCAUGGUUAGUGUUGGUCUGAUGUGUGUAGCGGCCGUGUGGUGGUCAGCCCCGCAGCUAAGCACGGGUCAGUUAAUUAACGUCGACUUGAGUCAGGGCGUUAAUUACACCACGCCCAUCUACUGCAGCGCUGCGGUCAGUGGGUUGACCGUAUGUAAGCCGUCGGCCUGCUACUGGUCAGGGUCAAGGUCACAGUGUUGUAUGUACCGGAACACAUCAGCGAGUGGGAUACUGUUUGACCAGUGCCUGUGCAACAACAACGUGAACUGUAGCGUAGUAACAUCAACAACAACAGCGACAACAACAGCGCCGUUUGUGUACACCGUUCCGCUUUACUGCCCAGAGACAAGCUACGCGACCACUUACAUCAAAAGCUGUCUCUACCACGACGCUUGCUUGAACUCGACCACCAGGAGCAGCUGCUGUUCUAGGGUGACCUGGGCGAACAAUGCACUGGUCACGGUAAAUAUGACAGUCACAGCUACAUGUCACUGCACAGCUGAUGUACCUUGUGUUCAAUAAAAACACAGUCAACAAUGUCAAGUUUACAUCUGUGUAUGAUGAUUGCAAAAUAAUUAUCUCAAGUUCAACUCUAUCAAUAAAAUAUUAUAUUUCUGCAA
This is a long non-coding RNA of Physella acuta, 662 nucleotides long. RefSeq lists it as uncharacterized. Lineage: Eukaryota; Metazoa; Mollusca; Gastropoda; Physidae. The record is from RefSeq and is a predicted model, not a curated record.